AUAAAUCGUCGGAUCUGUCACGAGAGUCGGAUCUGUCACUCUCUUUACCGGUUCAAUUGCAAUCAAAUCCUUCCCCCCAAAAUCCCAUUCCAGAGGGUCACGAUCUGGUUAGAGAUGAGUCACGAUUUGGUUAAAUUACGUAUCUGCUAGCCCCCUCCCCCCUAUAUUGGAUAAGGCGUUUAAGAAGCUGCCGUUCCCUCUCUAAAUAAGAAGUAAAGCCCUAGAUUCUGUUCAUUAACAACGGGCGAAUGAAAUCUACAAUAAUGAGCGCUUCAAGCCAGCCCCGUCCCCUAAUGAAAACAAUCUAUCACUGAUAGAGGAGUCCGGGACUAAGCCUCUGAUUCAUGGUAUCACUGCUGAAGCCCUCUUCUGCAUCGUAUCACUGCCUCUUAUUUAUUGCGGCGGAAAAGGUAGAAGAAUAGAGUCUCGAAGGGAGUUAGUGUUAAGGGCGAAUUCUUGCCCGCCGUAUAGCUCUUGGCACGUAUAUAAUAGAUGGGAUUUCCUGGUUUGAGAGGGGCAGAUGUAUAGAACUGGUUACUGCCAGAAAAGCAAGUUAGCGCUCAAGCUCGUACUAGAAGUAAAGGGGGGAAUAGUAAUAAUAAGGGGAAAAGGGCUCUUAAUAAUAAUAAGGGGAAAAGAGCGGAUAAUAAUAUACGGGCGGGAUCCGAACAAGUAUGAAUCACUCCCACUCUUAUGUACUGGGCGAUGGAGAGCCAUCCUUCCGGAAGACAAGAGCUUAUGACCGAAGGGGCUGCCAUAUGUACUGCCCACCGAAAAGCGUGCGAGCGGGAGCUCAUAGACUAGGGAUCGGAGGAAGCAGUGCCCCUUUUUCAAUGAAUUAAGUCCUGGACUCGAGUCUAUCACAUACGCAUUAGCUUUGAGGAUGACUAGAUCGGGUGGGAAUCAAUCCGUUUAUCGUCCACAUCGAUCAAGAAUGGUAGAGCAGGCAAAUGCCAACAACCACUUCUCAGACCCCCCAACUUCCAAUAGCUUUCAUUGG
This 1000-nucleotide long non-coding RNA is filed under the name Amborella trichopoda. RNAcentral describes it as "long non-coding RNA (ATRI_LNC003416)". Lineage: Eukaryota; Viridiplantae; Streptophyta; Magnoliopsida; Amborellales; Amborellaceae. The record is from RNAcentral.